CUGUUGCCUCUGUGGAAAGUGCGCUGUAACAUACAUACAUGUGGUGGUUUGCAGUGCGAUCAUCAGCCGCAGCAGAAACGAUUUUAAGAGAGGCCUCUUCAACUUUAUAGCCGCCAUGCCUGCCGCAACUUGGACAACAGGAUAGCAAAUGCACAUCAGCUGCUCACGCAAGAUGUUGAGAGGUUUUGUAACAGCGUGGUGAACCAGUAUUCAAACUUAAGCAAGCUAUUUUUGGAUAUCGUUCUGUAUAUUGUCAAGCUGACAAAUGCUCAGGCUAUAUAGGUUAAGAUCCUUUAACCUGUCCUGGGACCAGCCAGCAUGAUGGCUUACCUACUCGUAGCUGACCUUUUCCUUACACACCUUAGAAGGCCUAUUGGUAAGAUGACAGUAGCCGAGCAGCGGUAUGAAGGUGAAAUACAGAUAUGUUAACUCCCGUCUCAUCAUCAAUAGGUAGUGAAGAAAUGGCCUUUUACAAUGGAAAUAAAAAAAUAAAA
Molecule: RNA transcript, 494 nt
Organism: Spea bombifrons (plains spadefoot toad)
Lineage: Eukaryota; Metazoa; Chordata; Amphibia; Anura; Pelobatidae
Gene name: ATP-binding cassette sub-family D member 3-like
Exons: 6
Source: RefSeq, a predicted model, not a curated record